This 236-nucleotide long non-coding RNA is filed under the name Gallus gallus (chicken). Lineage: Eukaryota; Metazoa; Chordata; Aves; Galliformes; Phasianidae. The record is from RNAcentral.
CUGCGUCUGCUUUGCAGUGGCUUGAAGCAACAGUCUGUCCUUGUGACUCCAGUGGGUGAAGAUGAGUGACUUGGAGGGAGACAACCAAAUGGAGGCUGUGUCUGUCCAGGAUGCUGCUUUUACUCAAUGCCUCAUUAUCAAAGCCAAACUGAAAUGAAGAGCUGUACACUGUAUUGGAGAAUCCCAUUGAGUUGUAAUGUCAGAUCUCACCUCUCCACAUAACUUUUAUAUUUACA